CAUCCAUGAGAAUCAUGCCACAAUUGCAUAUUUGAAUUCAAAUUUGAAGCUCAAAAAGGCUUUAAAAGGAUUUUAUUUCAAUUUAAACCCUAGGAUUUACAACCAUUUGAGCUUUCGACCUUCAAACCAAUAGGUUUUAUUUAUAAAAGGGGUUUACUGCAUAAAUAAGGUCGCCCAUAAUUUUUGGAUAAUUAUUUGGAGUUGAAAAAGUAUUUUAUUUAAAUAGUUAUAUAGCCCUAACGGCAUUUAUAGGGCAAAUGUAUUUUUAUAUAUUUUAUUUUGAGGGGAAAUUACUCCCAAAAGUUGUAUCAUGGUAAAACAUGAUUUUACAAAUUUUCUGGAAUUUAUUUGGGCCAAUUUGGUGUACAAAAUCAAAAGAUAUCAAAGAUAUGAGAAAAAGGAAAAAAGAAAAGGCUAAAAGAAAAAAAAAGGGGAAAACCAAACCGGCCCGGCCUUUUUGGGCCGAACCGGCCCAGCAUCGCCAGAGCCAGCCCGAACCGGCCGGCCCAGCGCGCGCACGACCGCCAGG
This 529-nucleotide long non-coding RNA is filed under the name Brachypodium distachyon (stiff brome). RNAcentral describes it as "long non-coding RNA (BDIS_LNC005417)". Lineage: Eukaryota; Viridiplantae; Streptophyta; Magnoliopsida; Poales; Poaceae. The record is from RNAcentral.